This is a long non-coding RNA of Brassica oleracea var. oleracea, 136 nucleotides long. RefSeq lists it as uncharacterized. Lineage: Eukaryota; Viridiplantae; Streptophyta; Magnoliopsida; Brassicales; Brassicaceae. The transcript is spliced from 3 exons. The record is from RefSeq and is a predicted model, not a curated record.
GCGUGGAUUAGCUUAUCUCCAUGAAGAUUGUCAUCCUCGUAUCAUACACAGGGACAUCAAAUCAUCCAACAUUCUUUUAGAUAAUAACUUUCACCCUCUGGUUUCUGACUUUGGUCUUGCAAAGCUAGCUCUAGAC